GGCCUAAGUUAGUUUAGUUGCGACUUUUUGAGUUUUGGGCUAACGAAAUCUCGAAUUCAAAUUCUGAUGGUUCCAUCAGCUCCGGAAUGACCAAAUUAGGCUAGUAGCACUGUUGGAAUGACUAUCGAGUCAAUCAAUACGAGUUUGGGGCUAUUUGGCACUUUUGACUUUGAAACUUAGCCUAUAGUUGACUUUGGUCAACAUUCUUGGAAAAUGCGCUCGAAUAAAAAUUCUGACAGCGCGGUUAGGUCCGGAAUGUUGAUUUUGGUCUAGAACGACCCUUCGUUCGCUUUUUGAGGCUUCCGGACUAAUAUCGAGGCAUGUUGUGGAAUAUGACUUAAAAUGACUCUUGGGUGUGGGACCCACUUUUUAUUAAAAUGAUCUCGUAUGGAAAUUCUGAAUGCGCCAUUGAGUCCGGAAUAUCGAAUUUAGUAGGGUAGCAUAUCUGGUUUAUUUUUAUCGGAUUCCGAACGAAUUCCGAGGGUCCAUUCGGAGACUUUAAAUUGUGGUAAAAACCAGAAAAAAUCUGCAGCAGUGCAGAAUAUUUUCAGAUUUUCUCCUCAACUUUGAACCCUCAUUUCUUGAGUUCUAGAGCUCCAAAUUGGGUGAUUCAAAAGGCAAAAUUGUGAGGUUUUUCGUGGAGAAUGCAUUGGAGAAAUUGAAAACUGAUUUGGAGUAUUCGAUUCUGGUAAAAAUCGUGAUUUUAUUUGCAGCAGUAUCCAUUUUCGGAAUGGAUUUUUGAAGAACUUUGACAAGUUAUAUCUUGACCAAUAUAAAUCCGAUUUGGGUGAUUCCAGAGGCUAUCUUGCGUGGAAAUUUAAGGAGAACAUCGUGGAAGUUUCAGAAUCUAUUUUUGGCACGUCGUUCGAGCUUGGCAGCGUUCCGAGGUCGUUCGAAAGGGAAAAGCUCCAGCACAGUGAUUUGGAGCCCGCGUGUUUGGCCUACAGGACCGAGCACCAGUUAUCGCCGUGGAUAAAUCAAGCCUGUUGCAGUCAACUUCGGAGACUAGGGUGAGUACUUGGCGUUUUUAGAUCAUUCUUGUCUCCUUCAGCAUGGAUGGCCCGUCUUUUGCCUUCUGAGACUAGCCAGUUGUUUUAUAUCUUUUUGGUCCACUUUCGGGACUUGUACUCGUAUUUUAUUUUGUAGCAGCUCUGUACUUGUGACUUCCAGGUUCUGGGAGGGAUCUUUAGUUGUUUAAAACAUGUUUUGGUUUACUUCCGCUUAUUCAUUCUGUUUACUUUUAUAAUUCAAUGCUCUUAUAUAGUUUUUGCCUUCAAACACAUUACUUGAAGUUCCGGGUUGACGGGUUGGCUUACCUACUAGAGGGUUAUAGUAGGUGCCAUCAUG
Solanum dulcamara is the source of this 1347-nucleotide long non-coding RNA. RefSeq lists it as uncharacterized. NCBI's taxonomy places the organism in Eukaryota, Viridiplantae, Streptophyta, Magnoliopsida, Solanales, Solanaceae. The transcript is spliced from 3 exons. The record is from RefSeq and is a predicted model, not a curated record.